This 74-nucleotide transfer RNA is filed under the name Syntrophomonadaceae bacterium. Its description in RNAcentral is "tRNA-Gly". It matches the Rfam family "tRNA". Rfam says of the family: Transfer RNA (tRNA) molecules are approximately 80 nucleotides in length. Their secondary structure includes four short double-helical elements and three loops (D, anti-codon, and T loops). The record is from RNAcentral. Lineage: Bacteria; Bacillati; Bacillota; Clostridia; Eubacteriales; Syntrophomonadaceae.
GCGGAAUUAGUUAAAUGGUAGAAUGUCUGGCUUCCAACCAGAAGAUGAGAGUUCGAUUCUCUCAUUCCGCGCCA